This is a long non-coding RNA of Brassica rapa (field mustard), 375 nucleotides long. RefSeq lists it as uncharacterized. The record is from RefSeq and is a predicted model, not a curated record. Lineage: Eukaryota; Viridiplantae; Streptophyta; Magnoliopsida; Brassicales; Brassicaceae.
UUCCCUUUUAAUCUCAUGGCUCUUGCCUUCUUCUUUUUGUUUGAGCAUUGAUUAUCGCAUUAGGAAGUAAUCUUGAGACUCUUGUUGUUAUAAAAAGCCUUAAGAGUUGUGUCCUGUUUCAGUCUAAUAUGAAAUUAUGAAUAAUGUAAGAUGGUUUCUUUGGUGUUAUUUUGAUGACAAUGUCACUUCAUAAAGUUUAUUACCUCUUUGUAUUGAGUUUUGCUUGAGAGUGAAGUUUUCAUUUGCUCUACGUGUUUUUAGCUUAACUAAUUUUCAAGGAAUUGUUGCGCGGUGGCUAGGCGCUUUAUAGAGGAUAAAUGUUUAGACGGGUGUCUAAACCAGUUUUAUUAAACAUGAUUUCCGAAAAAUUGAUUU